RNAcentral lists this ribosomal RNA (292 nucleotides) under uncultured bacterium. Its description in RNAcentral is "partial 16S ribosomal RNA". It matches the Rfam family "Bacterial small subunit ribosomal RNA", at positions 335 to 641 of the family's 1533-position model. The record is from RNAcentral.
GUGCCUACGGGACGCAGCAGUGGGGAAUAUUGGGCAAUGGGCGCAAGCCUGACCCAGCAACGCCGCGUGAAGGAAGAAGGCUUUCGGGUUGUAAACUUCUUUUAUCAGGGACGAAGCAAGUGACGGUACCUGAUGAAUAAGCCACGGCUAACUACGUGCCAGCAGCCGCGGUAAUACGUAGGUGGCAAGCGUUAUCCGGAUUUACUGGGUGUAAAGGGCGUGUAGGCGGGAGUGCAAGUCAGAUGUGAAAACUAUGGGCUCAACCCAUAGCCUGCAUUUGAAACUGUACGUC